Malus domestica (apple) is the source of this 69-nucleotide small nucleolar RNA. RefSeq annotates it as small nucleolar RNA Z105. NCBI's taxonomy places the organism in Eukaryota, Viridiplantae, Streptophyta, Magnoliopsida, Rosales, Rosaceae. The record is from RefSeq and is a predicted model, not a curated record.
CAGGCAUAGUGAUGAUGUGUAUUUUUCUGAUUUAUUCUUGAUGAAUUAAUUACCUCCUACUCAUACUGA